RNAcentral lists this ribosomal RNA (330 nucleotides) under uncultured bacterium. Its description in RNAcentral is "bacterial SSU rRNA". It matches the Rfam family "Bacterial small subunit ribosomal RNA", at positions 1 to 334 of the family's 1533-position model. The record is from RNAcentral.
GUGAGUAGUUCAGAGUUUGAUCCUGGCUCAGGAUGAACGCUGGCGGCGUGCAUAACACAUUCAAGUCGAACGGACAGUAGCAAUACUGUUAGUGGCGGACGGGUGAGUAACGCGUGAGCAAUCUGCCUUCGGGUGCGGAAUAACAGGGAGAAAUCGCUGCUAAUACCGCAUAACGCAAGAGAACCGCAUGAUUUUCUUGCCAAAGAUUUAUCGCCCGAAGAUGGGCUUGCGUCCGAUUAGGUAGUUGGUGAGGUAACGGCCCACCAAGCCGACGAUCGGUAGCCGAACUGAGAGGUUGAACGGCCACAUUGGAACUGAGAUACGGUCCAG